Molecule: small nucleolar RNA, 71 nt
Filed under: Zootermopsis nevadensis
Lineage: Eukaryota; Metazoa; Arthropoda; Insecta; Blattodea; Termopsidae
Description: small nucleolar RNA SNORD58
Rfam family: Small nucleolar RNA SNORD58
About the family: snoRNA U58 is found in introns 1, 3 and 6 of the ribosomal protein RPL17 gene in humans. U58 is a member of the C/D class of snoRNA which contain C (UGAUGA) and D (CUGA) box motifs. Most of the members of the box C/D family function in directing site-specific 2'-O-methylation of substrate RNAs.
Source: Rfam by way of RNAcentral
UUGCUGUGAUGACUAAUCUUAGGACACCUUUAGAGUGUAUCAUGAUAAGUAUUUUGUUGCUUCUGAGCAAG